Molecule: ribosomal RNA, 443 nt
Filed under: uncultured prokaryote
Description: bacterial SSU rRNA
Rfam family: Bacterial small subunit ribosomal RNA
Source: RNAcentral
UGGGGAAUAUUGGUCAAUGGGCGAGAGCCUGAACCAGCCAUGCCGCGUGCAGGAAGACGGCCUUCUGGGUUGUAAACUGCUUUUAUACAGGAAUAAAAGGGCUCUGCGGGGCGGAUUGCAUGUACUGUAUGAAUAAGCACCGGCUAACUCCGUGCCAGCAGCCGCGGUAAUACGGAGGGUGCAAGCGUUGUCCGGAUUUAUUGGGUUUAAAGGGUGCGUAGGCGGGUAUUUAAGUCAGUGGUGAAAUCCCUGAGCUCAACUGAGGAAUUGCCAUUGAUACUGGAUAUCUUGAUUACCGUAUAGGUAGGCGGAAUUUAUGGUGUAGCGGUGAAAUGCAUAGAUACCAUAAAGAACCCCGAUAGCGAAGGCAGCUUACUAGAGUGUAACUGACGCUGAGGCACGAAAGCGUGGGGAGCGAACAGGAUUAGAUACCCGUGUAGUCC